This is a long non-coding RNA of Uranotaenia lowii, 679 nucleotides long. RefSeq lists it as uncharacterized. The record is from RefSeq and is a predicted model, not a curated record. NCBI's taxonomy places the organism in Eukaryota, Metazoa, Arthropoda, Insecta, Diptera, Culicidae. The transcript has 2 exons.
UGAGGUCUCAACACUUAACGUGCAUCUGUCAAGCCAGCUGAUUGCACCGAUUGCACACAUACAAAUGCAAUCAUAUGCGUAGUACACAAAAAAUAAAAUCGCUCGCCUGUACAACACAGAUUUUAACGACUUUUUGGUUGUGUGUAUUGUGAUCCAAGCAAGCCUGCGAAAAAUUAUUUUUCUCAACGGCCAUUUUGCUGCAGUUUUGGAUGGUGGCAGUCUUUUCCACGAGAGCUGAAAAACUAAAUGGUGACAGCAAAUAACAACUACCCCCUUGGUCAGAAUAGCCGAUCAGAGAUGGAGGAGUAUCCGGAUGCCGAAAUUCAAGUGGUGCAUCAAAUUACUGUGGGAAGAAAUAGGAUCUGUGGUACCGGCUGCUGCUGCAAUGUUCGCGCCCAAGCGUUCUCUCGAAAUGAAAGGUUCUGCUACAACUGGAACAAAACCCAUCCAAAACCUUGGAAAAUUGACAGUGCAGCUGCUCAAUGGAGCCGUUUCCUCAUGCUUGAACAGUUAUUAAAACUCGUGGAGGAAGAAAUUAGGAUUGCACAAAGAUUAGGCAAAAUGUAAUAAUGUGUAAUACUGUGAUAUUAGAAGAGAAAAAAUUUAAAAUUCUGUUAUUUUUAAUGCCCAAAUAUACUCCAAUAAGAAGAAAAAUAAAAAUUGCAAAUAAUUUUUCAAA